GCACAAGCGGUGGAGUAUGUGGUUUAAUUCGAUGCAACGCGAAGAACCUUACCUGGUCUUGACAUCCCGGAGACCCUUAGGAAACUAGGGGGUGCUUCCAUCUGGAAGAAUCUGGAGACAGGUGCUGCAUGGCUGUCGUCAGCUCGUGUCGUGAGAUGUUGGGUUAAGUCCCGCAACGAGCGCAACCCUUGUCUUAUGUUGCCAGCACGUGAUGGUGGGGACUCAUGAGAGACUGCCGGGGUUAACUCGGAGGAAGGUGGGGAUGACGUCAAAUCAUCAUGCCCCUUAUGACCUGGGCUACAAACGUGAUACAAUGGCUGGAACAAAGGGAUGCGAAGCAGUGAUGUGGAGCGAAACCCAUAAAAACAGUCUCAGUUCGGAUUGAAGUCUGCAACUCGACUUCAUGAAGUCGGAAUCGCUAGUAAUCGCGGAUCAGAACGCCGCGGUGAAUACGUUCUCGGGGUUU
Molecule: ribosomal RNA, 466 nt
Filed under: uncultured bacterium
Lineage: Bacteria
Description: bacterial SSU rRNA
Rfam family: Bacterial small subunit ribosomal RNA
Source: RNAcentral